GGCAGAGUAUGAAGCUGUGAAAAUGAAGUCAAAGGUCCAGUGGAGAUCCCAGGGAGUUGGACUUAUCAGAAAUAUGGAGUAUCUGCUAAAGAAAGCUGCUGGCCAUGAAUGGAGCCAGUCCAACGAGAGGCCAUGUAAGCUGCCACUGCCAGGACCAUAGAGUUAGCACUAAGCUAAGAAAUAUAUGCCAGAGCAAAUCCAAGACAGCUACCACUUGAACAAAAAGUCAAAGCAAGAAGAGGCAGAGAAACCAAAACAGGAUAUACUUUUCUGAGCUAAGCUGAAGCAUGGGUUAUAAACUCAAAUGCCUGCAGGGCCCAGAUGAGGGAAAGAAAAACAACAACAAAAAAAACCAAACUGUGUGCAUAGAAACCAAUGAUUUGGAGCGAGUGCCCAGCUGAAGCAGGAAGAGGCCAUUCGGCUAUAAAUGACUUUUGGCAUGCAUGAACUUGAAAUUAAUGGUACUGGGUCUUCCAGUUUUUAAGAAAAGUAGAACUUUUAAAAUGAGAAAUCUUUUGCAAAUGGG
Molecule: long non-coding RNA, 526 nt
Organism: Fukomys damarensis (Damara mole-rat)
Lineage: Eukaryota; Metazoa; Chordata; Mammalia; Rodentia; Bathyergidae
Exons: 3
Source: RefSeq, a predicted model, not a curated record